RNAcentral lists this ribosomal RNA (650 nucleotides) under uncultured bacterium. Its description in RNAcentral is "bacterial SSU rRNA". It matches the Rfam family "Bacterial small subunit ribosomal RNA", at positions 82 to 767 of the family's 1533-position model. The record is from RNAcentral.
GGGGGCUGCUCGGAGUGCAGACGGGUGAGUAACACGUGGGAACGUGCCCUUUGGUUCGGAACAACACAGGGAAACUUGUGCUAAUACCGGAUAAGCCCUUACGGGGAAAGAUUUAUCGCCGAAGGAUCGGCCCGCGUCUGAUUAGCUAGUUGGUGGGGUAACGGCCCACCAAGGCUACGAUCAGUAGCUGGUCUGAGAGGAUGAUCAGCCACACUGGGACUGAGACACGGCCCAGACUCCUACGGGAGGCAGCAGUUAGGAAUCUUGGACAAUGGGCGCAAGCCUGAUCCAGCCAUGCCGCGUGAGUGAUGAAGGCUUUAGGGUUGUAAAGCUCUUUCAGCGGGGAAGAUAAUGACGGUACCCGCAGAAGAAGCCCCGGCUAACUUCGUGCCAGCAGCCGCGGUAAUACGAAGGGGGCUAGCGUUGCUCGGAAUCACUGGGCGUAAAGCGCACGUAGGCGGGUCUUUAAGUCAGGGGUGAAAUCCUGGAGCUCAACUCCAGAACUGCCUUUGAUACUGAGGAUCUCGAGUCCGGGAGAGGUGAGUGGAACUCCGAGUGUAGAGGUGAAAUUCGUAGAUAUUCGGAAGAACACCAGUGGCGAAGGCGGCUCACUGGCCCGGUACUGACGCUGAUGUGCGAAAGCGUGGGGA